This 715-nucleotide ribosomal RNA is filed under the name uncultured Propionibacterium sp. RNAcentral's name for it is "bacterial SSU rRNA". It matches the Rfam family "Bacterial small subunit ribosomal RNA", at positions 65 to 791 of the family's 1533-position model. The record is from RNAcentral. Lineage: Bacteria; Bacillati; Actinomycetota; Actinomycetes; Propionibacteriales; Propionibacteriaceae.
AACGGAAAGGCCCUGCUUUUGUGGGGUGCUCGAGUGGCGAACGGGUGAGUAACACGUGAGUAACCUGCCCUUGACUUUGGGAUAACUUCAGGAAACUGGGGCUAAUACCGGAUAGGAGCUCCUGCUGCAUGGUGGGGGUUGGAAAGUUUCGGCGGUUGGGGAUGGACUCGCGGCUUAUCAGCUUGUUGGUGGGGUAGUGGCUUACCAAGGCUUUGACGGGUAGCCGGCCUGAGAGGGUGACCGGCCACAUUGGGACUGAGAUACGGCCCAGACUCCUACGGGAGGCAGCAGUGGGGAAUAUUGCACAAUGGGCGGAAGCCUGAUGCAGCAACGCCGCGUGCGGGAUGACGGCCUUCGGGUUGUAAACCGCUUUCGCCUGUGACGAAGCGUGAGUGACGGUAAUGGGUAAAGAAGCACCGGCUAACUACGUGCCAGCAGCCGCGGUGAUACGUAGGGUGCGAGCGUUGUUCGGAUUUAUUGGGCGUAAAGGGCUCGUAGGUGGUUGAUCGCGUCGGAAGUGUAAUCUUGGGGCUUAACCCUGAGCGUGCUUUCGAUACGGGUUGACUUGAGGAAGGUAGGGGAGAAUGGAAUUCCUGGUGGAGUGGUGGAAUGCGCAGAUAUCAGGAGGAACACCAGUGGCGAAGGCGGUUCUCUGGGCCUUUCCUGACGCUGAGGGGCGAAAGCGUGGGGAGCGAACAGGCUUAGAUACCCUGGU